CUGCUUGCUCACGACCCCGCCCGGGCGACCGCGCGGGGUCGGGCACGCCACCCUUGCCUAUGUAUACCUGUCGUUACUCCCUCGGCGGGGACACCCGCCGCUGGGAUCACCUAAACCCUCUUGCAUACAGCAUCCAACCUUCUGAACAACAAACCGAAUAAUCA
This 164-nucleotide unclassified non-coding RNA is filed under the name uncultured fungus. RNAcentral describes it as "sequence contains ITS1". Lineage: Eukaryota; Fungi. The record is from RNAcentral.